UACGGGGGGGGCAAGCGUUGUUCGGAAUUACUGGGCGUAAAGGGCUCGUAGGUGGCCAACUAAGUCAUACGUGAAAUCCCUCGGCCCAACCGAGGAACUGCGCCCGAGACUGCUUCUCUUGAGUCCCGGAGAGGAAGGUGGAAUUCCCGGUGUAGCGGUGAAAUGUGUAGAGAUCGGGAGGAACACCGGUGGCGAAGGCGGCCUUCUGGACGGUGACUGACGCUGAGGCGCGAAAGCGUGGGGAGCAAACGGG
Molecule: ribosomal RNA, 253 nt
Filed under: uncultured bacterium
Lineage: Bacteria
Description: partial 16S ribosomal RNA
Rfam family: Bacterial small subunit ribosomal RNA
Source: RNAcentral